Non-coding RNA from Bemisia tabaci, 441 nucleotides. NCBI's taxonomy places the organism in Eukaryota, Metazoa, Arthropoda, Insecta, Hemiptera, Aleyrodidae. The record is from RefSeq and is a predicted model, not a curated record.
GUCGCCCAUCCCCCCACUUGUCCCCUUCCUCAUCCCAUCAACCGUCCCCCCACCUGUUAAACGAUGUUCCAAUCAUGCUUGGGGACAUUUCCCCCAUCCCUCCCAUUCAACAUGAUUCACUCCUAGCAGGACAGCGAGAAUCAACGCCCAUCAGUAUAUCAUCAUCUAAAGAAUCGAACUAAUCCAAUCAAUAGUGCAGAAGUAACCGCAGGGAAUAUUUAUUCAACAUUUUAACAUUUUCAACAACUCAACAUUUUAUUAACAUUUAUUCGAUCUAUAUUUCAAAUGAAAUGAGUUUAAAUGUCAUAACUUAUCUGCAAGCUCUUCUUGCAUACAACUUUACAUACUCGAAUACACUGAUUAUGUUUAAAAUGAAAAGUUUUACUGUAACAAACCUUAUGUAAGUUGUUGGAAUUAAACAUAUCAUAUUUGCCAUUUGUA